UCAACUUGAGAGUUUGAUCCUGGCUCAGAACGAACGCUGGCGGCAGGCCUAACACAUGCAAGUCGAGCGCACCUUCGGGUGAGCGGCGGACGGGUUAGUAACGCGUGGGAACAUACCCUUUUCUACGGAAUAGCCUCGGGAAACUGAGAGUAAUACCGUAUAAGCCCUUCGGGGGAAAGAUUUAUCGGGAAAGGAUUGGCCCGCGUUAGAUUAGAUAGUUGGUGGGGUAAUGGCCUACCAAGUCUACGAUCUAUAGCUGGUUUUAGAGGAUGAUCAGCAACACUGGGACUGAGACACGGCCCAGACUCCUACGGGAGGCAGCAGUGGGGAAUCUUAGACAAUGGGCGCAA
This 350-nucleotide ribosomal RNA is filed under the name Roseobacter sp. RNAcentral's name for it is "bacterial SSU rRNA". It matches the Rfam family "Bacterial small subunit ribosomal RNA", at positions 1 to 380 of the family's 1533-position model. The record is from RNAcentral. Lineage: Bacteria; Pseudomonadati; Pseudomonadota; Alphaproteobacteria; Rhodobacterales; Roseobacteraceae.